This 1285-nucleotide unclassified non-coding RNA is filed under the name Bactrocera tryoni. RNAcentral describes it as "uncharacterized LOC120781335, transcript variant X2". Lineage: Eukaryota; Metazoa; Arthropoda; Insecta; Diptera; Tephritidae. The record is from RNAcentral.
UGAUAUUCUGGACAGCUUGUUUUUAAGUCGCAUUUUUUGACUGUUACUUUAAUAUCAAAGAAGUAAUGACAUACUGUAAAUAAUAAUACUGUAAAAACAGUUCUUAGACAAUAUACAUUAAAGUUCGACUUCAGAAUCGAAAAAUCAUAAUUCACGUUAACAUAAGUAAAGUUCGUACGAAAAUUUACACAGGCACAUAAAUCGCAGAUAUGGCAGCAACACAGGCAAAUCCUAAACUGCUUUCGCCAACUGCAAAUGUUUGCUCCUCAAACCUGUUGUCCAUAAAAGCCACAUCUAUAUCUUCAACAACAACUAUGAUGCCCGCGCCCGUACCUACAAAUAUUAAUAUACUAUCUGCGCCAUCUAGAGCAUCUUCUCAGCUAGCCUUCAAUAGCCUAGUUUCAGUAGAGCAGUUACAACAACAUGAUGCAGAUGGAGAUCAGCGAACAUUACAACUAGCUUGGGAAUUAUCAGUCGGUAGUGUAAAUGAAUCGGCCACGGAACGACCAUUGUUAAGUUCUUUUAAUAACCGUAAAAAAUCCAAUAAUGCAAUUAAUCAAUACGAACUAGCACACCAACAAAUAAUUGCAAACUCACAACAUGAACAGCUGAAUCGAAAAGUUGAUAUUGAUACAAAUAAAAGUAUUCAGCCUACUGUUUCUGCAGUUGCCGCCAAAGGUUUUAGUCAAAUUAAUAUAAAUGGUUUAACAAGUAGAAAUAGUAGUACAUCAUUUAAUAAUAUUUCGAUGCCAACACUACUAUUACCACCUACAAUAGAAGAUCGUUCUAAGAGAUCCCAAAAUAUGACCGAAUGUGUGCCAGUGCCCAGCUCCGAACACGUUGCCGAAAUAGUAGGACGUCAAGCUCUCCGGAUUUAAUUGUUUUGCGUGAAUGAAGCAUAAAAACUCAGCUUUUCGACACUAUAUGGUGUGAUGCAAUGUGAUUGGUAGCACUGGAAAUAUACGACUGCAAAGACAUCUAUUGACUAAAUACGAAAAGAAGAUUUUCGACUACCCAAUAUGGAUUGAGGAGAUAGGUCACAAGGGUAUAGCCGCAAAUGAACUGGCUGACGAGAUUACCAGCUCUGCAGCUUCUACUAGUAUGGUGGGACUGAAAGGCUGAAUGAAGGUUGCUCUUGAUAUCAUAAAGGAGCUGUUUCGAAAGGAGGAAAAAGUUGACAGAAAGAAGUAUUGGUAACAACUCCUAGGUGUCGGAGGAGCCGGAAAGUCCCGAGCACCUGUUUAUAUACUGCACACCUGUCUUCAAACCCAAUAUUAAGGCCCUU